Molecule: ribosomal RNA, 433 nt
Filed under: uncultured bacterium
Lineage: Bacteria
Description: partial 16S ribosomal RNA
Rfam family: Bacterial small subunit ribosomal RNA
Source: RNAcentral
AACGAACGCUGGCGGCAUGCCUAACACAUGCAAGUCGAACGAUCCCUUCGGGGAUAGUGGCGCACGGGUGCGUAACGCGUCGGAACCUGCCCUUAGGCUCGGAAUAACACAGAGACAUUUGAGCUAAUACCGGAUAAUGUACUCGGAUCAAAGAUUUAUCGCCUUUGGGGGGGCCCGCGUUGGUUUAGCUAGUGGGUGGGGUAAAGGCCUACUAAGGCGACGAUCCAUAGCUGGUUAGAGAGGCUGAUCAGCCACACUGGGACUGAGACCCGGCCCAGACUCCUGCGGGAGGCAGCAGUGGGGAAUAUUGGACAAUGGGCUGAGGCCUGAUCCAGCUAUGCCGCGUGAGUGAUGAAGGCCGUAGGGUUGUAAAGCUCUUUUACCCGGGGUGAUAAUGACGGUACCGGAAGAAUAAGCCCCGGCUAACUCCGUG